RNAcentral lists this ribosomal RNA (492 nucleotides) under uncultured bacterium. RNAcentral's name for it is "partial 16S ribosomal RNA". It matches the Rfam family "Bacterial small subunit ribosomal RNA", at positions 29 to 507 of the family's 1533-position model. The record is from RNAcentral.
AGUGAACGCUGGCGGUAGGCCUAACACAUGCAAGUCGAACGGCAGCACAGUAAGAGCUUGCUCUUACGGGUGGCGAGUGGCGGACGGGUGAGGAAUACAUCGGAAUCUACUUUUUCGUGGGGGAUAACGUAGGGAAACUUACGCUAAUACCGCAUACGACCUACGGGUGAAAGCAGGGGAUCUUUGGACCUUGCGCGAUUGAAUGAGCCGAUGUCGGAUUAGCUAGUUGGCGGGGUAAAGGCCCACCAAGGCGACGAUCCGUAGCUGGUCUGAGAGGAUGGACAGCCAGACUGGAAGUGAGACACGGCCCAGACUCCUACAGGGAGCAGCGGUGCGGAAUAUUGGGGGAUGGGCGCGAGCCUAAUCCAGCCAUACGGCGGGGGUGAAGAAGGACUUCGGGUUCGAGAGCCCUUUUGUUGGGAAAGAAAUGCAGCUCGUUAAUACCCCGCUGUUCUGACGGUACCCAAAGAAAAAGCACCGGCUAACUUCGUG